CCAGACUCCUACGGGAGGCAGCAGUGAGGAAUAUUGGUCAAUGGGCGGGAGCCUGAACCAGCCAAGCCGCGUGAGGGAAGAAGGUACAGCGUAUCGUAAACCUCUUUUGUCAGGGAACAAAGGCGGGGACUAGUUCCCGGAUGAGGGUACCUGAAGAAAAAGCAUCGGCUAACUCCGUGCCAGCAGCCGCGGUAAUACGGAGGAUGCGAGCGUUAUCCGGAUUUACUGGGCGUAAAGGGAGCGCAGGCGGCGCGCCAAGUCUGAUGUGAAACCCCGGGGCUCAACCCCGGGCAUGCAUUGGAAACUGGCGGGCUGGAGUGCCGGAGAGGUAAGCGGAAUUCCUAGUGUAGCGGUGAAAUGCGUAGAUAUUAGGAGGAACACCAGUGGCGAAGGCGGCUUACUGGACGGCAACUGACGCUGAGGCUCGAAAGCGUGGGGAGCAAACAGGAUUAGAUACCCCAGUACC
This 466-nucleotide ribosomal RNA is filed under the name uncultured bacterium. RNAcentral's name for it is "bacterial SSU rRNA". It matches the Rfam family "Bacterial small subunit ribosomal RNA", at positions 331 to 794 of the family's 1533-position model. The record is from RNAcentral.